RNAcentral lists this long non-coding RNA (681 nucleotides) under Felis catus (domestic cat). RNAcentral describes it as "lncRNA (ENSFCAG00000041397.1)". Lineage: Eukaryota; Metazoa; Chordata; Mammalia; Carnivora; Felidae. The record is from RNAcentral.
CAUGACUUCCCCAUUCCUAUGCCAUUUUGCCGGGGUUUGUACGCAGUUUGAACCACGCUUAUGCUUCGUGUGUGCCUCUCUCCAGCUAUAUUAUCAAUCUUUUGAGGAUAGAAACCAGGACGCAGACUUCUUUGAGUCCCGGCACCAGGGCAAUCAGAGAGAGGAAUUUCAUGACAACAGUCAAAAGGCCAACUUUAGAGAAGCAUGGCCCCAAGCCCUUCUGGAUGGUUCUGAAGCAUACCAAACAUUGGCCAUGGUUUCUUAGAGCACAGACAUUGUCUCUCAAGGCAAAGUGUUCUGGGCCUUUUGAUGGGCAGUGAACUUAUGAAUUAUCCUGGGGCCUUUGUCCUCUUCUGCCAGCAGAAUACAAUGACAAGGCCCUAGAUGAUUUUGGAGUCCUGGGACAGAAGGACAUUUGGUCCCUUCAUCACCAGGUGGAGGAGAGCCACCUACUGACCAGGAGCACCCUAUGGAUGAUUGUAUGAUCAAGGUCUGUUGUAUUUAAUUUAAAGUACAUAUUUGGGUCUAUUUGUUACUGCAGCCUUGCCUAAGCUGAUGAAUACACACAUCAUUUUGUAAACGUGAAUGGUAUCCAAAUGCAUUUGUCUAACAAUGUUUGUUGAGUGUUAUUUUGAUUGGUUCUGGGGACACCUGGGCAUAUAAAGAAACAUUAAUUCAUGC